CACAGUAAAGGAGGAGACUAUAUUUAAAAGAAGAAAAACUACCACAACAAGAGGACAUAGUCUUAAAUUAGAGGGGCAAAGGUUUAAAAAUAAUAUCAGGAAGUAUUACUUUACUGAGAGGGUAGUGGAUGCAUGGAAUAGCCUUCCAGCUGAAGUGGUAAAGGUUAACACAGUAAAGGAGUUUAAGCAUGCGUGGGAUAGGCAUAAGGCUAUCCUAACUAUAAGAUAAGGCCAGGAACUAAUGAAAGUAUUUAGAAAAUUG
Pelobates cultripes (western spadefoot toad) is the source of this 262-nucleotide non-coding RNA. The record is from the annotation of a GenBank genome assembly. NCBI's taxonomy places the organism in Eukaryota, Metazoa, Chordata, Amphibia, Anura, Pelobatidae.